Molecule: ribosomal RNA, 527 nt
Filed under: uncultured Planctomycetota bacterium
Lineage: Bacteria; Pseudomonadati; Planctomycetota
Description: bacterial SSU rRNA
Rfam family: Bacterial small subunit ribosomal RNA
Source: RNAcentral
GUCUGAUCGAGCGACGCCGCGUGCAGGAUGAAGGUCUUAGGAUUGUAAACUGCUUUUCUUAGGGAAAAAGUUAUUGAUUGUACCUAGGGAAUAAGGAGCUGCAAACUUCGUGCCAGCAGCAGCGGUAAUACGAAGGCUCCAAGCGUUAUCCGGAUUUAUUGGGCGUAAAGAGUGCGCAGGAGGUCAAGCACGUCUGUCGUUAAAUGUCUCAGCUUAACUGGGUCACCGCGGGAGAUACGACUUGACUAGAGGAUGUUAGAGGUUACUAGAACUCACGGUGUAGGGGUGAAAUCCGUUGAUAUCGUGGGGAAUACCAAAGGCGAAGGCAUGUAACUGGAACAUUCCUGACUCUCACGCACGAAAGCGUGGGGAGCAAAAAGGAUUAGAUACCCUUGUAGUCCACGCCCUAAACGAUGCCGACUAGCCGUUUCGAGUAUCGACCCUCGGAGUGGCGCAGCUAACGCGUUAAGUCGGCCGCCUGGGAAGUACGAUCGCAAGAUUAAAACUCAAAGGAAUAGACGGGGACU